RNAcentral lists this ribosomal RNA (374 nucleotides) under uncultured organism. RNAcentral's name for it is "bacterial SSU rRNA". It matches the Rfam family "Bacterial small subunit ribosomal RNA", at positions 526 to 896 of the family's 1533-position model. The record is from RNAcentral.
CGUAGGGGGCCUAGCGUUGUCCGGAUUUAUUGGGCGUAAAGAGCUCGUAGGCGGCACGGUUAGUCAGGUGUGAAAUCUCCACGCUCAACGUGGAGGGGUCACCUGAUACUGCCGAGCUCGAGUCCGGUAGGGGAGUGUGGAAUUCCCGGUGUAGCGGUGAAAUGCGCAGAUAUCGGGAGGAACACCCGUAGCGAAGGCGGCACUCUGGGCCGGUACUGACGCUGAGGAGCGAAAGCGUGGGGAGCAAACAGGAUUAGAUACCCUGGUAGUCCACGCCGUAAACGUUGGGCACUAGGUGUGGGACUCUAUCGACGGGUUCCGUGCCGUAGCUAACGCAUUAAGUGCCCCGCCUGGGGAGUACGGCCGCAAGGCUA